RNAcentral lists this ribosomal RNA (206 nucleotides) under Escherichia coli. RNAcentral describes it as "partial 23S ribosomal RNA". It matches the Rfam family "Bacterial large subunit ribosomal RNA", at positions 2159 to 2364 of the family's 2925-position model. The record is from RNAcentral. Lineage: Bacteria; Pseudomonadati; Pseudomonadota; Gammaproteobacteria; Enterobacterales; Enterobacteriaceae.
GAAGUGUGGACGCCAGUCUGCAUGGAGCCGACCUUGAAAUACCACCCUUUAAUGUUUGAUGUUCUAACGUUGACCCGUGAUCCGGGUUGCGGACAGUGUCUGGUGGGUAGUUUGACUGGGGCGGUCUCCUCCUAAAGAGUAACGGAGGAGCACGAAGGUUGGCUAAUCCUGGUCGGACAUCAGGAGGUUAGUGCAAUGGCAUAAGC